Molecule: long non-coding RNA, 592 nt
Filed under: Anser brachyrhynchus (Pink-footed goose)
Lineage: Eukaryota; Metazoa; Chordata; Aves; Anseriformes; Anatidae
Description: lncRNA (ENSABRG00000010963.1)
Source: RNAcentral
AGUCCCUCAUAACACAUGCAGCUUCACCAUGGUGGACCUGCAUGUCUGCGCUGUCCUUCAGCAAGAACAGUGCUUUCUCCAAUGCCCGCCAAGGCAUCGGUGCAUGGCAUCACUAAUGAGAAGCUUGACAUUUUCUUGGAGGUACCAAGUGCAGCAUUAGGAAGACAGAAGAAGAGCCUGUGGUCCUUCGCUGAGUAAGAGAAGCAAAUUGAGGUAUUGGAGUCCUCAGGAGAUGCUGUUUUGCUGCCCUCUAGGCAAAGAUUAAAGCUUAAAAUGUGGAAGUUAAAGAAAACGCUGUCCUGGGCACACCAAUGCAAAGCAAGAGGUUGAGAAGGUAGGAAUAAUUCUUGUGGGACUUCAUUAAGGUGUGAAUAUAAGAUCUCUAAGAGAUCUCCGGGCUCAGAUAAGCGGGAUCCAGUGGUGUACAACAAAGAAUUAUCAGGAAAGGCAUCAUAAUUACAAAGUACUUUUAUAUUAAAAUGAUGUCAUGUAAUAGGUUGAAGAACAAAAAAUAUAUAAGCCGUGCAGAUCUUCUUUAUCUAAAUAAUUGUUUUCUUAUGCAUUAUGCAGCAAACUUCUCAUAUAAUUCCUG